UACGGAGGGUGCAAGCGUUGUUCGGAAUCAUUGGGCGUAAAGCGCGUGUAGGCGGCUUGGCAAGUCAGUUGUGAAAGCCCGGGGCCCAACCCCGGAACUGCAUCUGAAACUGCCUGGCUAGAGUCCCGGAGAGGAAGGCAGAAUUCCCGGUGUAGGGGUGAAAUCCGUAGAUAUCGGGAGGAAUACCGAUGGCGAAGGCAGGUCUCUGGGCUAACACUGACGCUCAUGCACGAAAGCGUGGGGAGCAAACAGG
This 253-nucleotide ribosomal RNA is filed under the name uncultured bacterium. RNAcentral describes it as "partial 16S ribosomal RNA". It matches the Rfam family "Bacterial small subunit ribosomal RNA", at positions 524 to 776 of the family's 1533-position model. The record is from RNAcentral.